Recurvomyces mirabilis is the source of this 78-nucleotide non-coding RNA. NCBI's taxonomy places the organism in Eukaryota, Fungi, Ascomycota, Dothideomycetes, Mycosphaerellales, Teratosphaeriaceae. The record is from the annotation of a RefSeq genome assembly.
ACACCCAUCGUCUAGCGGUCCAGGACACCAGUCUGAUACAGUCAGCUGGCAACGGAGAUUCGAAUUCUCCUGGGUGUA